RNAcentral lists this ribosomal RNA (273 nucleotides) under uncultured prokaryote. Its description in RNAcentral is "partial 16S ribosomal RNA". It matches the Rfam family "Bacterial small subunit ribosomal RNA", at positions 524 to 796 of the family's 1533-position model. The record is from RNAcentral.
UACGGAGGAUGCAAGCGUUAUCCGGAUUCAUUGGGUUUAAAGGGUGCGUAGGCGGAUUAUUAAGUCAGUGGUGAAAUCCUACAGCUUAACUGUAGAACUGCCAUUGAUACUGAUAGUCUUGAAUUUGGUUAAGGUAGGCGGAAUGUGUAAUGUAGCGGUGAAAUGCUUAGAUAUUACACAGAACACCAAUUGCGUAGGCAGCUUACUGGACCGACAUUGACGCUGAGGCACGAAAGCGUGGGGAUCGAACAGGAUUAGAAACCCUUGUAGUCC